Molecule: ribosomal RNA, 408 nt
Filed under: uncultured bacterium
Lineage: Bacteria
Description: partial 16S ribosomal RNA
Rfam family: Bacterial small subunit ribosomal RNA
Source: RNAcentral
GACGAACGCUGGCGGCGUGCUUAACACAUGCAAGUCGAACGAAGUGGCGAACGGGUGAGUAAUACGUGGGUAACCUGCCCUCCUUUUCGGGAUAAGCCUUGGAAACGGGGUCUAAUACCGAAUAAAGGGGGAUGGGCUCGUGGCCUAUCAGCUUGUUGGUGGGGUGAUGGACUACCAAGGCGGUGACGGGUAGCCGGCCUGAGAGGGGGACCGGCCACAUUGGGGCUGGGAUGCGGCCCAGACUCCGACGGAGGGCAGCAGUGGGGGAUAUUACGCAAUGGGCGGAAACCUGAUGCAGGAACGCCGCGUGGGGGAUGAAGGCUUGCGGGUUGUAAGCCACUGUCGCUAUCAAACGGGUAGGUGGAGAAGAAGCGCCGGCUAGCUACGUGCCAACAGCCGCGGUAAUUC